This 416-nucleotide ribosomal RNA is filed under the name uncultured bacterium. RNAcentral describes it as "partial 16S ribosomal RNA". It matches the Rfam family "Bacterial small subunit ribosomal RNA", at positions 355 to 762 of the family's 1533-position model. The record is from RNAcentral.
UGGGGAAUUUUGGACAAUGGGCGAAAGCCUGAUCCAGCAAUGCCGCGUGUGUGAAGAAGGCCUUCGGGUUGUAAAGCACUUUUGUCCGGAAAGAAAUCCUUGGCUCUAAUACAGUCGGGGGAUGACGGUACCGGAAGAAUAAGCACCGGCUAACUACGUGCCAGCAGCCGCGGUAAUACGUAGGGUGCAAGCGUUAAUCGGAAUUACUGGGCGUAAAGCGUGCGCAGGCGGUUUGCUAAGACCGAUGUGAAAUCCCCGGGCUCAACCUGGGAACUGCAUUGGUGACUGGCAGGCUAGAGUAUGGCAGAGGGGGGUAGAAUUCCACGUGUGAGCAGUGAAAUGCGUAGAGAUGUGGAGGAAUACCGAUGGCGAAGGCAGCCCCCUGGGCCAAUACUGACGCUCAUGCACGAAAGCGU